GCAGUCGAGCGGACGGAUGGGAGCUUGCUCCCUGAAGUCAGCGGCGGACGGGUGAGUAACACGUGGGCAACCUGCCUGUAAGACUGGGAUAACUUCGGGAAACCGGAGCUAAUACCGGAUAAUGCAUUUCCCCUCAUGGGGAUAUGCUGAAAGAUGGUUUCGGCUAUCACUUACAGAUGGGCCCGCGGCGCAUUAGCUAGUUGGUGAGGUAACGGCUCACCAAGGCAACGAUGCGUAGCCGACCUGAGAGGGUGAUCGGCCACACUGGGACUGAGACACGGCCCAGACUCCUACGGGAGGCAGCAGUAGGGAAUCUUCCGCAAUGGACGAAAGUCUGACGGAGCAACGCCGCGUGAGUGAUGAAGGUUUUCGGAUCGUAAAACUCUGUUGUCAGGGAAGAACAAGUGCCGGAGUAACUGCCGGCACCUUGACGGUACCUGACCAGAAAGCCACGGCUAACUACGUGCCAGCAGCCGCGGUAAUACGUAGGUGGCAAGCGUUGUCCGGAAUUAUUGNGCGUAAAGCGCGCGCAGGCGGUCUCUUAAGUCUGAUGUGAAAGCCCACGGCUCAACCGUGGAGGGUCAUUGGAAA
RNAcentral lists this ribosomal RNA (591 nucleotides) under Bacillus sp. CH375a_12D. RNAcentral's name for it is "bacterial SSU rRNA". It matches the Rfam family "Bacterial small subunit ribosomal RNA", at positions 57 to 632 of the family's 1533-position model. Lineage: Bacteria; Bacillati; Bacillota; Bacilli; Caryophanales; Bacillaceae. The record is from RNAcentral.